Molecule: long non-coding RNA, 397 nt
Organism: Paramacrobiotus metropolitanus
Lineage: Eukaryota; Metazoa; Tardigrada; Eutardigrada; Parachela; Macrobiotidae
Exons: 3
Source: RefSeq, a predicted model, not a curated record
AUGCCUUCGCUGUAUCCAACCCUCUGACACUCUCCGAUGUCAAUCUGAUGGUGGCAUUAACUAGCGGCUCUUUCCAACGGCAGACGCUCACUGGGCACGUGGUCGCACAGCUGAAAUUCACAUUGUCCUACCCAGAAAUGGACACCGAUAAAUACAGAUAUCUGUGGCGUUACCCCAGCGUUGAGAUAAUGACACAGCAUCUGCAGGACACCGCCUCGUCUGCUCUGGCCACGGAUCCAUUUUUUUUAUGCUGUACGAUUGUGCUGUGCUUUAUGCCCACUUAUCAUCAGAGAUCCCAUACGCGUGCAUGCUCCUCGCAGUUCUCUGCCAUUAGGACACCAUGUUGCGAGCUCUUCCAAAAAUUAAAACGAUCAAAGAGUGAAAGACUUGACCUGGA